This 275-nucleotide long non-coding RNA is filed under the name Elaeis guineensis (African oil palm). RNAcentral describes it as "long non-coding RNA (EGUI_LNC033292)". Lineage: Eukaryota; Viridiplantae; Streptophyta; Magnoliopsida; Arecales; Arecaceae. The record is from RNAcentral.
CUCCUGUCGAUAGCAUAAAAUUUUGACUGUACCUAAGUGAUAUGGUAGUCUAUAAGCGUACUUUCUCAAUGGUCUGUUCGGUUGCAGUCAAUUAUAACAGUGCAAAGGAUAACUUGGUUGAUGACCGCCAGCCCGUUGACAACAAUAACUAUAUCCAUUGGUUCCUCCUCCCGCAGCAAAGUUUCCGAUAGCUUAAGGAUGGCAUUAUUAAAUGUAUAUCUUAGAAGUUAAUAUGAUUGAUAUAUUGUAAUAAUUUUAAGAUAUAUUUUAUACUU